RNAcentral lists this transfer RNA (64 nucleotides) under Teuthowenia megalops. RNAcentral describes it as "tRNA-Ser". Lineage: Eukaryota; Metazoa; Mollusca; Cephalopoda; Oegopsida; Cranchiidae. The record is from RNAcentral.
GGUUUUUACUGGGUUCUUGAAGUUUUGAAAACUUCUAAUAAGUGUUCGAUUCACUUGAAAACUU